AUUGAACGCUGGCGGCAUGCUUUACACAUGCCAGUCGAACGGCAGCGCGGGCUUCGGCCUGGCGGCGAGUGGCGAACGGGUGAGUAAUACAUCGGAACGUGCCCAGUAGUGGGGGAUAGCUCGGCGAAAGCCGGAUUAAUACCGCAUACGACCUGAGGGUGAAAGCGGGGGAUCUUCGGACCUCGCGCUAUUGGAGCGGCCGAUGGCAGAUUAGCUAGUUGGUGGGGUAAAGGCCUACCAAGGCGACGAUCUGUAGCUGGUCUGAGAGGACGACCAGCCACACUGGGACUGAGACACGGCCCAGACUCCUACGGGAGGCAGCAGUGGGGAAUUUUGGACAAUGGGCGAAAGCCUGAUUCAGCAAUGCCGCGUGUGUGAUGAAGGCCUUCGGGUUGUAAAGCACUUUUGGCGGGAACGAAAAGGACUGUGCCAAUACCACGGUUCGAUGACGGUACCCGCAGAAUAAGCACCGGCUAACUACGUG
This 484-nucleotide ribosomal RNA is filed under the name uncultured bacterium. RNAcentral's name for it is "partial 16S ribosomal RNA". It matches the Rfam family "Bacterial small subunit ribosomal RNA", at positions 29 to 507 of the family's 1533-position model. The record is from RNAcentral.